GCGGCCGGGGGCAGCGGCGGGGGAGGCGCAGCUCCGCUCCGGGCUCGGGCAGGGGCUCGAGAUGCGCCCGGGGAGGCAGCGCGGAGCCGCCCGCCCGCCCACACGGCGCUGCACGUGCCCCGAGCCGGCAUGCGGGAGCCCCGGGGCCGCCUGCUCCUUCCCUCCCCACCCCGGCCCCAGAACAGCCGGGACCCGCCUUCUCCGCGCCUCCUGGAUGCUUACUGCUACCUUUUACACGUGGCUAUUCACCAAUUACCAAGGGGAUGAGGAGGAUGAAGCAGAUGAAGAUGAAGCUGGUCCACCAGGAGAGUACAAAGAAGACGAAGAUGAAAAUGAUGGAGGUUCAGAUUUGGGGAGAGUGAAGAGGAGGAAGGAGCUGGCCUUUCAUACCUGAUGACGGACAAGAUCCAGGUAGGACUUACCCUAUUCUACAAUAAGGCUCAGGAUUUUCUUGACACUGUCUAGCUAUAAACGUGUAAUAAGUUAAACGUGUAUAAGCAGAAUCAUGUAAAUCCACUAUCAUACAUGAGCAAUAGAGUACUUUAGAGAGACACCUUUUACUAUCAAAAAAGUGCGUUACAGUAGGGGAACCACCGCUGUUUGGUAUUCUCCGUUAUCUUGCUCAAAAUGAAAUGCUUCACGAUUCAUUACUUCACGGCCUUGUAGAAUUAGUGUCAUUCUGCACCAGAUCACCACGUCCGAUUUGGAGGAGAACGUGGCCGAAACAAAUCCACCUGCCCUACCAGGAUGCUCACAAGUGCCUGGGGCGCUUCAGCCUUGAGAGCCAUGCCCUCACCAUGCAGAUCUGCAGGCUGUCAGGUGUGGGGCUGGGGCUUCCAGGCAGGGGGGAGAGGGUGAGUAUGGAGGAGCUAGGGCCUGAGGGUGCAGGGGGCUGAUCAGGAUGUGAGGGCUGAGGCAAAGGGGAGACAGGCUGGGAAUCCAGGAGUGAGGGCUGGCCACUGAGGAAGAAGUCAGGGAGAGGCUGGAGCUGUGGCCCUGGGAGUGCCGUGGGUCUGGCCAUGCAGGGGAGAGCUGGGGCGGGGAGCGGAGACUUGCCCUGGGUGGGAGCGCAUUGCCCUUGCCCUGGGUGGGAGCACAGGACCUUGAGCUGCUGUUAGUUGAGGGAGGUGGGUGGGAAGUUGGAUCCUGGCAUUUUGGGGAAGGAGGAGGGAUUGGACACUCUUUUCACCCCACUUAUCUCAGGGCCCUUUUCUUUCCUACCCGGGGGGCAGACAGCCCGUGUGAUGUUUGCUGAGCUGACCUGCAGGGAGCCUGAUGGACGCAGGGGAUGGGAACGGGGCUGUGCCGGGUUCACUGCUCUGGGAAGGAAGCGUGUUAGAGCAGAGCAGGCGUGAGGACCAGGACUUGCAGGUUGUGCCCUGCUCUGGCUCUUCGAAAGGAGUGCUGUCCAGCAUGCCAUAGUGAGGGGUAUGGUUUGGGAGGACUCCUGGGUCCUGUUUCUAGCUGAGGGAAGGGGUGGGAGGAAGGCUUUGUGGCUCAGGACUCCUGGCUUCUUUUGGGGAUGUCACUUCCCCAGAAUGAACCCACAAAUCAUCUGUGCAUUGAGUCAAUCGAUCCCUUGGGUGAUGCUGUCAGCACGUACAUGGAGCGGUGAUCAACGUGAGCCAUGAUGCACGACUGAUCCCGCAGACCAGCUGCCAGCUCUGGGUGGUGGAGGAGCAGUCCAUCAGCCACAUCAACGGCGACUUCGACUGCAAGCGGGAGGUGCUGGAGGCCUCGGGCCAGGUCAGCAUUAACUGGCCCCGGGAGUGACCUUGCUGUGGGGAGGCUCCUCGAGGACCUGCCCCUCCCCUCUCAGAGACCUGCCUCCACAGCUUCACGUGCACCCACACCCAGAGGACUCCGUGUAGAGGGGGCAGGGCCGCAGGCAUGGUUGUGGUUGAACUUUGAAGAUGUGUUUUGGGGGCCUAAUGCAAGACAUGUUAUAUUUUUAGAGCUGUUCUUCUACACCUGCUGCUUUCCCAGGAGAGAGAGACUUAAUUUAUAUGAAUGGGAGGGAGGGGGUUGUACUGGAACGGUCUGUUUUAGGCAGGAGUGAGGGCUGUCCUUGUCCCAUUGCUGGGUUCCCUGCCCCCAGUCUGGAGAAUGGCUUGAGCCUUGUUUUGCUUCCACCCAAGAAGAUUAUAUUAAAAUAUAAUAA
Molecule: long non-coding RNA, 2161 nt
Organism: Alligator mississippiensis (American alligator)
Lineage: Eukaryota; Metazoa; Chordata; Crocodylia; Alligatoridae
Exons: 3
Source: RefSeq, a predicted model, not a curated record